This 923-nucleotide ribosomal RNA is filed under the name uncultured Actinomycetes bacterium. RNAcentral describes it as "bacterial SSU rRNA". It matches the Rfam family "Bacterial small subunit ribosomal RNA", at positions 8 to 946 of the family's 1533-position model. The record is from RNAcentral. Lineage: Bacteria; Bacillati; Actinomycetota; Actinomycetes.
AGAGUUUGAUCCUGGCUCAGGAUGAACGCUGGCGGCGUGCUUAACACAUGCAAGUCGAACGAUGAAGCCCAGCUUGCUGGGUGGAUUAGUGGCGAACGGGUGAGUAACACGUGAGUAACCUGCCCUUGACUCUGGGAUAAGCCUGGGAAACUGGGUCUAAUACUGGAUACGACCUUCCACCGCAUGGUGUGGGGGUGGAAAGCUUUUGUGGUUUUGGAUGGACUCGCGGCCUAUCAGCUUGUUGGUGGGGUAAUGGCCUACCAAGGCGACGACGGGUAGCCGGCCUGAGAGGGUGGACGGCCACACUGGGACUGAGACACGGCCCAGACUCCUACGGGAGGCAGCAGUGGGGAAUAUUGCACAAUGGGCGCAAGCCUGAUGCAGCGACGCCGCGUGAGGGAUGAAGGCCUUCGGGUUGUAAACCUCUUUCAGUAGGGAAGAAGCGUAAGUGACGGUACCUGCAGAAGAAGCGCCGGCUAACUACGUGCCAGCAGCCGCGGUAAUACGUAGGGCGCAAGCGUUAUCCGGAAUUAUUGGGCGUAAAGAGCUCGUAGGCGGUUUGUCGCGUCUGCCGUGAAAGUCCGGGGCUUAACUCCGGAUCUGCGGUGGGUACGGGCAGACUUGAGUGAUGUAGGGGAGACUGGAAUUCCUGGUGUAGCGGUGAAAUGCGCAGAUAUCAGGAGGAACACCGAUGGCGAAGGCAGGUCUCUGGGCAUUAACUGACGCUGAGGAGCGAAAGCAUGGGGAGCGAACAGGAUUAGAUACCCUGGUAGUCCAUGCCGUAAACGUUGGGCACUAGGUGUGGGGGACAUUCCACGUUUUCCGCGCCGUAGCUAACGCAUUAAGUGCCCGCCUGGGGAGUACGGCCGCAAGGCUAAACUCAAGGAAUUGACGGGGGCCCGCACAGCGGCGAGCAUGCGAUA